This 252-nucleotide non-coding RNA is filed under the name Clostridiales sp. EM6. Lineage: Bacteria; Bacillati; Bacillota; Clostridia; Eubacteriales. The record is from RNAcentral.
ACAAUCGAAGAGGCAUCCGGUGCUGCUGCCGCUGUGAAAAAGUUCAUGAGAACAGGCGGACAGCAGGUAAAAGGGAAACAGGUGGAAGACCUGUACGAUCUCGUCACUGUGAGCAGGGAAUACAAGACCAUGCGCGAAUGCGCGGUCACUGAGGAAGAAGGACAGUUGGAUAAACUGUCGUGAAAGCUUUGGGAAGGCGGUUUUGUGUGAUGAUCUGUAAGUCAGGAAACCUGCCGGACUGCUGGUACAGGA